Molecule: transfer RNA, 69 nt
Filed under: Ictidomys tridecemlineatus (thirteen-lined ground squirrel)
Lineage: Eukaryota; Metazoa; Chordata; Mammalia; Rodentia; Sciuridae
Description: Spermophilus tridecemlineatus (thirteen-lined ground squirrel) tRNA
Rfam family: tRNA
About the family: Transfer RNA (tRNA) molecules are approximately 80 nucleotides in length. Their secondary structure includes four short double-helical elements and three loops (D, anti-codon, and T loops). Further hydrogen bonds mediate the characteristic L-shaped molecular structure. tRNAs have two regions of fundamental functional importance: the anti-codon, which is responsible for specific mRNA codon recognition, and the 3' end, to which the tRNAs corresponding amino acid is attached (by aminoacyl-tRNA synthetases). tRNAs cope with the degeneracy of the genetic code in two manners: having more than one tRNA (with a specific anti-codon) for a particular amino acid; and 'wobble' base-pairing, i.e. permitting non-standard base-pairing at the 3rd anti-codon position.
Source: Rfam by way of RNAcentral
GGGGUUGUAGCUCAGUGGUAGAGCACUUGCCUAGCAUGAGUCAGGCACUGGGUUCAAAUCUCAGCACCA